This 118-nucleotide ribosomal RNA is filed under the name Burkholderia pseudomallei. The record is from RNAcentral. Lineage: Bacteria; Pseudomonadati; Pseudomonadota; Betaproteobacteria; Burkholderiales; Burkholderiaceae.
UCAGGCUCCUCAUGCCAGAACCCCCGCCCAGCACCGCGGGGGUUUUGCUUUUUACCGGCCCCGCCGCGCCUCGUCUUCGUCCCUCCACGCACUCCGCUCAUCUGCCAUCCCCCGCGGC